AGCAGCCGCGGUAAUUCCAGCUCCAAUAGCGUAUAUUAAAGUUGUUGCAGUUAAAAAGCUCGUAGUUGAAUUUCGGGAUCAAUACGUCGGUCGUGCUUCGGUACGUACUGGCGUAAUUAAUUUCUCCCUUCUGACGAACCAUGAUGUCAUUAACUUGGUGUCAUGGGAAAUCAGGACUGUUACUUUGAAAAAUUAGAGUGUUUAAAGCAGGCUCACGCUUGAAUACAUUAGCAUGGAAUAAUGAAAUAGGACGUUCGAUCCUAUUUUGUUGGUUUUUAGGAUCAACGUAAUGAUUAAUAGGGAUAGUUGGGGGCAUUAGUGUUCAAUUGUCAGAGGUGAAAUUCUUGGAUUUAUUGAAGACUAACUACUGCGAAAGCAUUUGCCAAGGAUGUUUUCAUUAAUCAAGAACGAAAGUUAGGGGAUCGAAGACGAUCAGAUACCGUCGUAGUCUUAACCAUAAACUAUGCCGACUAGGGAUCGGGAUGAUGUUAAUUUUUUAAUGUACUCAUUCGGCGCCUUA
RNAcentral lists this unclassified non-coding RNA (520 nucleotides) under uncultured Glomus. RNAcentral's name for it is "SSU rRNA". It matches the Rfam family "Eukaryotic small subunit ribosomal RNA", at positions 569 to 1090 of the family's 1831-position model. Lineage: Eukaryota; Fungi; Glomeromycota; Glomeromycetes; Glomerales; Glomeraceae. The record is from RNAcentral.